RNAcentral lists this Y RNA (79 nucleotides) under Tupaia belangeri (northern tree shrew). RNAcentral's name for it is "Y RNA (ENSTBEG00000020120.1)". It matches the Rfam family "Y RNA". From Rfam's summary of the family: Y RNAs are components of the Ro ribonucleoprotein particle (Ro RNP), in association with Ro60 and La proteins. The Y RNAs and Ro60 and La proteins are well conserved, but the function of the Ro RNP is not known. In humans the RNA component can be one of four small RNAs -- hY1, hY3, hY4 and hY5. Lineage: Eukaryota; Metazoa; Chordata; Mammalia; Scandentia; Tupaiidae. The record is from RNAcentral.
AGUUGGUCUGAGGGCUAUCGGUUAUUGUUAAGCUAAUUAACACUGUCUCCCCCUCAACAAUCAUCUUGACUAGCUUGUG